AGCCGCAGCUCUGGAAGCCCGCUUCGGACACGGCCUAAGCUUACAAUGAGCACGCGCGCGCGCGAGAUGACAUGUUUGGCUCGCGUUGUCGGGAUUGUUUGUAUAUGACUUAAUUCACAGGAGACUGUGAUCCCUGUAUGAGCCUUGACCUGAACCAAGAGAGAACACUAAUUCCUUGGCAUCAGAGGCUCCUUUGGUUCAUGAAUGACUAGGACAUGCAAGCAGCCCCAUCGCUACCAACAAAAUGAAUACUCCAACCAACACGACUCUUCUCAACCAAUUAGGCUGUGCUUCUACUCAAGGUGGAUCAGCAUUUGGGGAUGGCAGCUGAAACCUUAACUAGAAGAGAUUGACUGGCUGAAAAAUAGUUUCCCUAGUUUCAGCAGUGACAGAGAGACAAGAAGAAGCUAGUCCCUGGACAAAGUUUUCUGAAGUGUGACAGAUCAGAGGUAUCAUAUCACUGGGGACAAUACUUGACAGUUGUAGCAUUGAUGAAGAGACAAGACUAGACCCCUGGGAGACGGUUUUCUGGAUUGUAACACUUCACCAGAUAUUUGUUACCGCCAACACUACUCACUU
Acanthaster planci (crown-of-thorns starfish) is the source of this 579-nucleotide long non-coding RNA. The record is from RefSeq and is a predicted model, not a curated record. NCBI's taxonomy places the organism in Eukaryota, Metazoa, Echinodermata, Asteroidea, Valvatida, Acanthasteridae.